This 253-nucleotide ribosomal RNA is filed under the name uncultured bacterium. RNAcentral describes it as "partial 16S ribosomal RNA". It matches the Rfam family "Bacterial small subunit ribosomal RNA", at positions 524 to 776 of the family's 1533-position model. The record is from RNAcentral.
GACGGAGGGUGCAAGCGUUGCUCGGAAUCACUGGGCGUAAAGGGUGCGUAGGCGGUCUCGCAAGUCUGGCGUGAAAGCCCAAGGCUCAGCCUUGGAAGUGCGCUCGAAACGGCGAGUCUGGAGUGCCGGAGGGGAGAGUGGAAUUCCCGGUGUAGCGGUGAAAUGCGUAGAGAUCGGGAGGAAUACCGGUGGCGAAAGCGACUCUCUGGACGGCAACUGACGCUGAGGCACGAAAGCGUGGGGAGCAAACAGG